Molecule: ribosomal RNA, 459 nt
Filed under: uncultured bacterium
Lineage: Bacteria
Description: partial 16S ribosomal RNA
Rfam family: Bacterial small subunit ribosomal RNA
Source: RNAcentral
CCUACGGGUGGCAGCAGUGAGGAAUAUUGGUCAAUGGGCGCGAGCCUGAACCAGCCAAGUCGCGCGAGGGAAGACGGUCCUAUGGAUUGUAAACCUCUUUUGUCGGGGAGCAAAAGACGCCACGCGUGGCGUUCCGCGAGUACCCGAAGAAAAAGCAUCGGCUAACUCCGUGCCAGCAGCCGCGGUAAUACGGAGGAUGCGAGCGUUAUCCGGAUUUAUUGGGUUUAAAGGGUGCGCAGGCGGAAGAUCAAGUCAGCGGUAAAAUUGAGAGGCUCAACCUCUUCGAGCCGUUGAAACUGGUUUUCUUGAGUGAGUGAGAAGUAUGCGGAAUGCGUGGUGUAGCGGUGAAAUGCAUAGAUAUCACGCAGAACUCCGAUUGCGAAGGCAGCAUACCGGCGCGCAACUGACGCUCAUGCACGAAAGUGUGGGUAUCGAACAGGAUUAGAUACCCGGGUAGUC